CUGGAUCUCAGAAGGAAGGGCUUGUGCUUGCUUCAGGAAAUCAGACCUGCUUUUGAACUGGACUAUUUUGGUUCCCCUUGCAAGAACUCUGGUGGCUCUCUUGGCCGUGCAAGCUCCUAGACGUCACAGUACAUGGAAAAAUGCAAGCUUUACCAGACUUGAAAGCGCCAUGUGAGGCCCUUCCUUCCCCCAGCCUGGAGCCCUGUGCACAGAGCUCCAUUGUGGUCACCCUCGAGGACAAGGGUCUCUGGAUGAAGUUUCAUCAGAUUGGAACCGAGAUGAUCAUCACCAAAUCCGGCAGACGAAUGUUUCCACAAUGCAAAAUCAAAGUCUCUGGCUUAAUCCCAUAUGCCAAGUACCUCAUGCUGGUAGAUUUUGUUCCAAUGGACAACUUCAGGUACAAGUGGAAUAAAGAUCAGUGGGAAGUUGCUGGGAAAGCAGAGCCCCAGCUCCCUUGUCGCACGUACGUUCACCCAGAUUCCCCAGCUCCUGGCAGCCACUGGAUGAAAGAACCUGUCUCCUUCCAAAAACUGAAGCUCACCAACAACACUCUGGAUCAACAUGGACAUAUCAUCCUGCACUCCAUGCACCGUUACAAGCCGCGCUUCCACAUCGUGCAGGCAGACGACCUCUUCAGUGUCCGCUGGAGCAUCUUCCAGGUCUUCAGCUUCCCUGAGACUGUCUUCACUUCUGUCACUGCCUACCAGAACGAGCAGAUUACAAAGCUCAAGAUUGACAACAAUCCAUUUGCUAAAGGUUUCCGUGAACAUGGGAAGAACACUCGAAGGGAAGGACGAGCCAAAUGCCAGAAGCCCAGUCCAGCCAAGAGCCAGAAGAGGAAGCUGCCUGAGGAAAAGGAGCAUGAUGCCGAGGAACGUGAUUUUGAGAAGGAUGAGAAUGUAGAUGUGAAGGAAGAGAGUAACCCCGUGGUGGUCAGCAGUGGAUAUCCCUUCUGGGGCUCGGAGCAGAAUGGCAGCCAGGCCUUCCCUGCGCCAUCGCCGGUGCCUGCGGAGCAGAGGGAGGGUCUGGCCAGGGAGCAGCAAGUGCCAACACCAUCCUACCAGACAUAUCGGUUCCACGAAGCCGGGGACAGCCAGCACCUUCCCGCCCGCGAUGCCACGGCCUUGAACGAUUUCCGGGCAAGGUGCCACGCCUUGGAUCUCGCCACGGUGCCAGAGCAUGACUCCAAACAGCUCCCAGAGGGCUUCACCAACCUGCCUCCGCUCCCCCCGCCUCUGCCUCCUCCCCAGGACUACACGGGAGUGGUGAACAUGGCUCUAGACUCUGUGGGGAAACCCGGGGCCCGAGCGCCCGUGUACAGUCCCUAUGGCACCGAGCAGGGCCUGGGGCAGUGGGUGGUGCCUCCCCACAGCCAGUACAGGGCAAUGAGCUACUCAGCCUUCUCCACGGAGUACAACACACAGGGCGCUCCGGGACAUGCCCACGGGACCAUGGCGGAGUGGAGCCAGUACCCUCUGUUCCCCUACGCCUGCUGGUGAACGGGGAGGACCCUUCCCAGUGAAAAAACUGAGGGAAAACUGUAAAUGAGAUCAGAUUUGCUCUGGGGUGUUGGACUUCUGGAGCCUCGCCUGCACUAGGCAGAGGUAUUGCUGCAAGUGGUAGAAUGGGACACCUUCACUUCCUUGUCUCCUUGCACAACAGCCUUCACCAUGUUUCACAAACAGUGGCUAAACUGGUGGCUGCCCCAGCUGUGUCACUGUGGAUCAGGCAGAAUAAAUGUCCUGCAGUGUCUUUUUUCCCAGCAGGAGUAGGAAACCACAGGAUCUCCAAGGGCAGUAGUUAAAGAGCUGCUGAACUUGCAGUCACAGGCUGUUUGUACCUCGUAUUUGGCAGUUUCCAAAAUCCCUUCCUCCCAGGACUUGGGGCAAGGAGAUAGGGGCUAAGGAGUUUCAGUAAGCCAUCCAGGUGGCACAAAAGCUGCAGACAAUAUUGCAAAGACAACUGAAACAAGCAAUCCUGCUGACCUUUGAGCAGGUUCCUCAGUUAGUAUAGUCAAACUAAAGCUAGUCUUGCCUUUCUUCCAGCAGCAGAAGAGAGUAAAAUGCACAGCAAGGAGUGUCUGGAGCAUAGCAGUGGGUCAUGGAGGCAGGGAAGAGUUUGUUCCAUGCAGGAGAAGCAGCAGGAAGGCUGUGUGUUGUGUCUGCAUGUCCCUGUGCCCAUCCCUCCUCUGUCAGCCCUAGAUUCAAGCAAAUCUGAGCAGGAGGAACCCCGGGAGAGGUAACGCAGCUCACAGGACACAGCGAAGGAAGUCGGGAAGGUGUUUCUCCCCCGCAGCACUUCCCAGAGCAAACACUGAAGCAUUCUUGAGACCUGGGCCUGAGCAGCGGUGUCAGACGAAAUUUUAACCAGGGAUGAAGCAAUCCUUCAGCGCAGGGGUGUACAACUACAGUGUUCCUGCCCAGACAGCACCCUGCUUGGAAGGACUCUGUGGAGACAGAGCUCUCCGGAGCAGCUCAGGCACCGCCCAGCAACAGUCGGCUGAAGGGGGAAAUGGGAAUUGCUGUGAGCGUGAGGCUGAUGCUCAGCAGGAAUCCAGCCCAGUGCUGCGUAUCCAUCAUCACGACAGACUUGGAGCCAAGUCACCAGCUGCGAUACCUGGAAAGAGAAAAGCUGCUUCUCUUCAAGGUCAGUGGAUUAAUGGUAUCACUGGUCACAAGAUGAGGGAAAAAAAGAGAAAGUGUAAGAUUACAGAAAUGGAUUCAGAAUAUAGAAGUCCCCGUGAGAGCCCCUGAACUACCUCAUAGUCCAGAUCAAAUUAGUGAAGUAACAGAAUGCACUAAAAAACUGUGGGAUUACAGUCUAGAAAUACAGGGUGCCAUUACUUCACAGUAAUGAAAAAUGGGCAAGUUUGAUUUUUUAUAUUUUUUAUGACAAGUUAAGGGUAGCAACAGUGGCUGGGUUUGUCACUUCUGUCAGGAGCAUCCCUGGAGGUCUCCAGCUUGGCUGCUGAAUGGUGGUGGGCUGAAAACAAGUUGAGUGCCAAGAGUUUCAAACCGACUCCUGUUGUUCACUUCUGUCAGUCCCUUCUGUCUGUUCAGAACAGCAUCCACUCCUCACUCGCCUCUCCCCCCACAUCAGUUGGGUCUCAGGUGCAGGGCAAGCUGGAGGAAGGCAAAGCAGCAUGUCCAGUGCUGCCCUUCUGCCCCUGCCGCCAUCUGAGAGCCCAGUGAGAGCUGCUCUUGCUCCAGGGUCUGGAGAGGAUUCAGUGGAUAGUGCAGACUGGGAUCACAGUGCAGCACAGGGGGGUUAACAGUCCCUGGGAUCCACACUGUCCCUUGUGCUUUAGUGAUACAUUUCUAGACCAAAAGCAAGUGACGGAUUUUUCAGCACUGACUUUCAGCUGCCCUUGUUGGACCAGCCAGGACGCACAAAGCAGGAGCCAGUUCCCUGCGGAUACCCCAGAUUUAGUUCUGAUCCCAAUUGUCUGGUGCGCCAGCGGCGGGUUAGACUAAUAACUCGUGCAGGGAGGGUUCUGGUUACAAAAUGCCUGGAAUGAAGUAAGCAGGUGCUGGGAAGGUUAUCUGAGGGGAGCACUGUGUUAAUUCCCUAUCCCUCGCUCCCUAUGCCUACCUUGGAAGCAGCGUGGAUGGUGUUUUCCACAGGUGAGGCUGCACCUGGCACACAAGGGGUGCACUGAGCAGGGGCAGUAGCUCAGCUUUAGCUCCCAAGGGUCAUGCCAGUCUGGAGCAGCAGGGAUGGGUCCGAGUCACAGUGGUGGGUGCUGGAUUCCCAGGCUGCUCCCACGGUGGGCAGCUGGAGCAGCGUGUGGAUAACCUGACCCAAGGUAGGCACACACCAGUCUGUGUUAAUGAGUCACAGUAAUUGGUGCAACUCUGGCUCUAGGCAAGCUUGUAGGGCUUGGAUUUCGGAGCAGGAGGCUCACUCUGGGACAGCUGUGAUGUUUUCUUUCCCUGUGCCUGCCUGUCCCGCUUGGACACGCAGUCCUGCUGCAGGGGGGCUCAGCUGUUUGUGCAGCAACUGCCAGUUCACAGCUCGGGGUAUGGAGGUUUCCUGAAAUUGGAACUGCUUUACCUUGCCCCGCUGAGCUGUGACUGGUGGUCCAACAGCUGCUAUGGGAGCAGCUGACCUGCCCUCUAAAAAAAAAGGCAGAGGGAACAAUGAAGGGGAUAGAAACUGCUACAGUUGCUCCAAGGUGAGCUGUCCCUGUUGGUGAGUGUGGACCUGAAGAGCUUUUGUAUGUGCACAAUCUACACUAUGAAAAAUCAUGUAAAAAAACUACAAGGAACUGUGUUCUGCUGUGGCUGCAUUUUAUCUGAGUGUAUUUAGCUGUAUUUCCUACUGGUGUAAGCUCCAACAGACACAACUCUGGGUAUGCCCUAGAGAGGUGUUUGUCAUCACACUGGUUUAGAAAUAAAACCUUUUAAAUGAGUGACAAACUGAUGAACCCCACUCAUCCCAGCCAGCUGGCACAGAAAAAUUAAGGCUUAUACUGCCUGUUGUAGGACUGACCUAACUAAACUAGUUCAGAUUUGCACUGGUGAGAGCUUGGAUGCAGGUAAGCCAGAAAUACACCCAGGUGUAGUUACUGAUUACCUUUGACUUUCGGCUGAGCACACUUGGCUGUUGCUGGAGCUUUCGGUGGCUGCUGUGCUGGGCACUCCUGGUACAAAUCCCCCAUCGCAGCUGCAGCGAGAGGAGGGCUGUGCCAGCCAGUGGAGAAGGGCACCCACGCUGUGAUCCAGUGUGCAGGAAGCAGAUCACAGCUGGAAGAGCAGGGACACUUGGGUUUGCCACAUAAAACAAAAGAUGCCAUGAGAAGCAGCCACAGCAACGGGCCAGCACUGCCAGCUUUUGCCAGGAAGCCAAAUGCACACAAAGCAGCUUGAAAC
This is an RNA transcript of Lepidothrix coronata (blue-crowned manakin), 4871 nucleotides long. It is a transcript of the gene named T-box-containing protein TBX6L, with no coding region annotated. The record is from RefSeq and is a predicted model, not a curated record. Lineage: Eukaryota; Metazoa; Chordata; Aves; Passeriformes; Pipridae. The transcript is spliced from 14 exons.